UUUUAAUGUGCUUUUAUUAUAAUAUAAAGUUAAAUAUUUAAUUGUUGUUAGUUACUUAAUACGUAAGUAAAGGCACACAAUCCCUUCUUCAGUGUGCUUGUUUUAUGAGUUUUAGUAGAAAUCAGAUUCUUUUAGCAUUCUUUGUUGUGUUGUUAAGAGUGACACGCAGAUUCUGAUCCAAGUGAUUCCGAUUCUAAAUGCUCAACUCGGCAGAAAAAGCUAUAAAGUGAGGGAUUGUGAGGUAAACAUGAACGAAGACAAAGGAGAAUUAUUGUUUUCACUAACCUUGAUCUUUGCAGAAACUCUACGAUCUCUUAGAGUGCCAAUAGUAGACCCGUAACCAUGGAAGAAAGAGUCCUAGACAUGUUCACCUAAUUAAGUGUCUAGUUGGGGAACAUGGAUGCAUGCAUGGAUCGCAUGGACGAGGUGACAAUCGCAGCCAUGUUUGAUGCCAAAUAAUACGAGAAGAGAUAGUGUUUUGUGGUG
This 486-nucleotide long non-coding RNA is filed under the name Carica papaya (papaya). RNAcentral's name for it is "long non-coding RNA (CPAP_LNC009458)". The record is from RNAcentral. Lineage: Eukaryota; Viridiplantae; Streptophyta; Magnoliopsida; Brassicales; Caricaceae.